CGCCAUGGUGACUUGCAAGCAACUCACUGCACUUAGGCACUGGACUACCUGAAUUUCUAAUUCAGUAACGGAAGGAUGCUGGGUGUAGUCAAGUACUUGACUUGUCGGUGCAUGUGUCAAGAUGGGAUUGACCACUCCAGUUCAGGAGCUAUGUACAGUCAUAUUUCAAUUUGGCAAAAUCUUGGCCAGGGUAGUCCUAGUGAGGAGUCACAGGACUGUUUGAGUUGAGCAUGAUUCGGAUGAUCUAAUCAGGGUUGACAGUUUAACCCUGAGUCGUCCUAAACACAGGCGUCAAAAGGGAUGAAUUAUACAG
Molecule: long non-coding RNA, 313 nt
Filed under: Elaeis guineensis (African oil palm)
Lineage: Eukaryota; Viridiplantae; Streptophyta; Magnoliopsida; Arecales; Arecaceae
Description: long non-coding RNA (EGUI_LNC058998)
Source: RNAcentral